AUGGAGCCAGCGGACGAAGUGGAGAUUUGGGAGGCCAUCUUAGCGGAUCCGCUUGAUUGGCCUCCAUCUUCUGUUACUAUUCCUCGUCCAAGCCAGGUGGAAGAAUACUUCAGUUAUGUGUAUGGCGAUGAUGACAUGGAAAUCAACAAAUUUGCACAAGAGCCCGAAGAUGGGCAGUGCCACCAGCAAUAUUUGGGAGAAUUCAUAUUAAACAAAAGUGGGAGGCAUGGCCCACAAGUUCCUCGCAAGAGGAGGAUAUCUGCUUCGGGAAGUGGAGGCAAGAAAUUGCACGGUCGAAAAAACAAUGAACACUGGACACGUGAAGAAGUGAAGAAGCUGAUAUUAGGAGAUAUGGUGAAGGGCGAUGGACUAAGGUGA
RNAcentral lists this ribosomal RNA (378 nucleotides) under Triticum aestivum (bread wheat). RNAcentral's name for it is "partial small subunit ribosomal RNA". The record is from RNAcentral. Lineage: Eukaryota; Viridiplantae; Streptophyta; Magnoliopsida; Poales; Poaceae.